GCAGUGGUGGUCCAGCGGUAGAAUUCCCGCCUUCCAUGCAGGAGACCUGGGUUUGACUCUGGCCAGUGCG
Molecule: transfer RNA, 70 nt
Filed under: Loxodonta africana (African savanna elephant)
Lineage: Eukaryota; Metazoa; Chordata; Mammalia; Proboscidea; Elephantidae
Rfam family: tRNA
About the family: Transfer RNA (tRNA) molecules are approximately 80 nucleotides in length. Their secondary structure includes four short double-helical elements and three loops (D, anti-codon, and T loops). Further hydrogen bonds mediate the characteristic L-shaped molecular structure. tRNAs have two regions of fundamental functional importance: the anti-codon, which is responsible for specific mRNA codon recognition, and the 3' end, to which the tRNAs corresponding amino acid is attached (by aminoacyl-tRNA synthetases). tRNAs cope with the degeneracy of the genetic code in two manners: having more than one tRNA (with a specific anti-codon) for a particular amino acid; and 'wobble' base-pairing, i.e. permitting non-standard base-pairing at the 3rd anti-codon position.
Source: Rfam by way of RNAcentral